AUUAGUAUGCUUACCAGGAGGUAAAAUCCUGGCUGCUAUAAUUAGACAAGGUUAUUCGCCCCUUUUCAAUGAGUCAUUCCUCUGAGAAUAGAUUAAAUGUAUUUAAAAAAAAAAACACAACACUUUUCGCUUGUUAAAAGCCUAGCAGAAAAAGGAGAGAGUUACAGAAGAAUGUAUUAACAAGUUAAUCUUAAGAAGGCCUGAAAUUGCACUGAAAUGCAGAAAAUGCCGACUCAUAAAGAUUACUGAAUAUUAACCCAGGAGCAAGACAGGAAUUUCCUUUUAUGAGUGGCAGAGUCCCACAUGCUUCUUCUGAGAUGUUUCUUCCUAAUCCAAAAUGCAAUUCAUUUUGCAUUUCCUGUCGAGUUGCUAUGGAAUUCCCAUGAUGUUUUUGUUGACUGCGUGGACAGCAUCCAUCAGAGAAAUGGAGCAAGGAUAUGCUUUUACAGGGAAAGAAAAUAUAUGAGUAAAUUGGAGGUGCUGGCUUCUCUAAAUUCUUGCAGAUACAACUUCCUGUAUACAUGCUCUAUAGUUGCAGGGAGCAAUCACCUUGCCACUAAGAAGACUUCUCUCUGCAGUUUGUGGACAUCUGACACAACUUUGCUUCUCAAAAGCUCACCCCAAACUACUUAA
Molecule: non-coding RNA, 633 nt
Organism: Meleagris gallopavo (turkey)
Lineage: Eukaryota; Metazoa; Chordata; Aves; Galliformes; Phasianidae
Source: RefSeq, a predicted model, not a curated record